CCUACGGGAGGCAGCAGUGAGGAAUAUUGGUCAAUGGCCGCAGGGCUGAACCAGCCAAGUCGCGUGAGGGAUGACGGUCCUAUGGAUUGUAAACCUCUUUUGUCAGGGAGCAAAGGGCGCCACGUGUGGCGUUUUGCGAGUACCUGAAGAAAAAGCAUCGGCUAACUCCGUGCCAGCAGCCGCGGUAAUACGGAGGAUGCGAGCGUUAUCCGGAUUUAUUGGGUUUAAAGGGUGCGCAGGCGGUCUGUUAAGUCAGCGGUCAAAGCCCGGGGCUCAACCCCGGCCCGCCGUUGAAACUGGCAGUC
RNAcentral lists this ribosomal RNA (305 nucleotides) under uncultured bacterium. Its description in RNAcentral is "bacterial SSU rRNA". It matches the Rfam family "Bacterial small subunit ribosomal RNA", at positions 338 to 641 of the family's 1533-position model. The record is from RNAcentral.